Long non-coding RNA from Armigeres subalbatus, 1420 nucleotides. RefSeq lists it as uncharacterized. Lineage: Eukaryota; Metazoa; Arthropoda; Insecta; Diptera; Culicidae. The transcript has 3 exons. The record is from RefSeq and is a predicted model, not a curated record.
UUCACCAACACUAUCACAGAGUGAUUUUUUUUUGCUGCACACUGAAUCAAAAUGAAAAUUAUCAUUUUCACCUGAUGUCUAGUUCAAAUUUGCGAUAUUUUUCUUAGUGUUUCCACGCAUUGUUUGUUGUUUUCUAACAGCAAACAAGAAAAAUAUUACAGUUCUAACAGCAAACAAAGGAAAAUUUUGUAAACACAGCACCAACACCAAUGGGGAUUGAGUAAAGUUUAGUUCGUCGAGAUUUUAUUCUGUUGUCGGUGUAGCCGACUCUCGAAAAUUUAAAUUUUAAAUAGUGUAGUGUACCAAAAAGCGCGUGGCGCUUUUUUGGUACGGGCUGGAAUUUCGGAGUCGACCCGGAGUCGACGAAAAGGGUUUACGGCAUUUCCGUCGUUUUAUCGUUUGGAGGAGUUUUUUGUGGAGUCCGUGCGCUCGUCAAGGCCCGCCCUUCGGGGUAGCGAAACGGAGUGUGGUGAAGUUUCGUCAAAAAGAGAAGCGAAAAGUGAACCGUCGAUCGCCAAUCAAUCGACGGUGGUCCAAAACGUUCCGAACCCUACGGACCGUUCGGAGAGCUCGGCGCGUGGAAUACGUCGCCAAUUGCGUACCACAGUGCCGGAUUGGAACCGAAGGCGAGGGUUCAUUUCAUCACGGGCGGUAAAAAGCGAAGCCGUGCGGAGGUACGUUGGCCCUUGUCCGGAGGGGAAAAUCAACCCGGGAAGCGCGACAUCCGUCGACGCAGCUCUCACGAGAAAAUCGGAGGCCUUCCGUCCAGCCGCCACCCACUUCGCAACUUUAGUUCGGCCAUAUUUGCACGGGCUCAUCAGCUGCGCACCAUCCUGCAGCUAGGCGAUUCUUCUGUCGCCGCCAUCGUCAAGGACAGCUUCGCCGCCAUCGCCACGAACAGGUUCGACGCCAUCGUUCCGAACCGGUUCGCCGCCAUCGCGCCGGCGAAACCCAGCAAGUCGACGAAGAAGAAAACCUGCGCAGGUAUGUGACUAGUGUGUAGACAUGGCCAUGAUCUAGAUAAACAUUUAUAUAUCCGUACCAAUUCCAAAUGUGUUCAACCCGAAACAAAUAAACCCCACGAAUUGUAAGUAAGAAGAUCGAGUAGUUUUUUAGUUGGAGUAAUCGCUGAGAGAUCACUCCGUUCGCUUUUCCGUUCCGUUCCGUUGACUACGUUGAUCACUCGCUUUGCAUAAUUUCUGCCGGGAUUUAUUGGCGGGUUGGAAGAGUUUGAGGGUAACGUAACUUGGGAGGUGGCCAAAUUGGAGAAGCACUUGGUGCAAAGCAAUAUUUUAAGUUUCAGCCAGCGACCGUUCGAGUGACCCCUGAGGAGAGAAGUCGAGUAUUAGUCGGGCAAAAGAACUCGACCGGUGGUCUUCCGGAUCCCGGAAGUGGCGCUUAAGCCACCGGUUAAUCAUAA